AUAAAAUUAAUAAAACAUCUUAAUUAACAGGAAUUAAAGUCCUCAAAAGGCAAGAAAAAUAAUCUUUUCAUUUUUUCAACAACGCCAUAAAAAAAGAAAGAAGAGUUUAACUCAAUCGUCUUCCAAUGAAACCAGGCUAAGUAAUAGUAUAGAAGCGAGCGGACGUGUUUUGCGGACGCUUAAUAAAAUUAA
Eupeodes corollae is the source of this 192-nucleotide long non-coding RNA. RefSeq lists it as uncharacterized. The transcript has 2 exons. NCBI's taxonomy places the organism in Eukaryota, Metazoa, Arthropoda, Insecta, Diptera, Syrphidae. The record is from RefSeq and is a predicted model, not a curated record.